Molecule: ribosomal RNA, 492 nt
Filed under: uncultured bacterium
Lineage: Bacteria
Description: partial 16S ribosomal RNA
Rfam family: Bacterial small subunit ribosomal RNA
Source: RNAcentral
AGUGAACGCUGGCGGUAGGCCUAACACAUGCAAGUCGAACGGCAGCACAGUAAGAGCUUGCUCUUACGGGUGGCGAGUGGCGGACGGGUGAGGAAUACAUCGGAAUCUACUUUUUCGUGGGGGAUAACGUAGGGAAACUUACGCUAAUACCGCAUACGACCUACGGGUGAAAGCAGGGGUUCUUCGGACCUUGCGCGAUUGAAUGAGCCAAUGUCGGAUUAGCUAGUUGGCGGGGUAAAGGCCCACCAAGGCGACGAUCCGUAGCUGGUCGGAGAGGAUGAUCAGACACACUGGAACUGAGACACGGUCCAGACUCCUAAGGGAGGCAGCAGUGGGGAAUAUUGGACAAUGGGCGCAAGCCUGAUCCAGCCAUACCGCGUGAGUGAAGAAGGACUUCGGGUUGUAAAGCCCUUUUGUUGGGAAAGAAAAGCAGCAGGUUAAUACCCCGCUGCUCUGACGGUACCCAAAGAAUAAGCACCGGCUAACUUCGUG